This 1074-nucleotide long non-coding RNA is filed under the name Marmota monax (woodchuck). The record is from RNAcentral. Lineage: Eukaryota; Metazoa; Chordata; Mammalia; Rodentia; Sciuridae.
GCUGAUUGUUUCCCUAGGUCUUAUAGAAUAUCUGGGUUCUAAGAAAUUCAGGGGAGAGUUUUAAGUGUUGAAAAACUGAAUAAAAGGACUAGUCAGAUAAGUGCAGAAAACUAGAAAUUUGGGUUCAUGGAGAUGAAAUGAAACUUAGUGUCUGGAACAAAUCUUUGUGUGGGGGUGGUGGUGAGGGGAUUAAGAAAUUUGCCUACUCUUGUUUGUGAGCUGGUAAUGGGGUGUCUGCUGAAUAGCAUCACCCAUUUCCCAGACAUCUUUCUCAAGAGAGCUUGGCUUGGGGUUUUUCCUAGUUGUCUCAGGUAUAAAUCCAGGUAUAUUUUGAGUUUUUAUUUUGGAGGUUGGGGAAAAGAUCCCAUGAAUGCACUUUAGAACAGUUACUUUCCAUUAAAAUCAAGUGUUGGAGUGACCACAGUGCUAGUGGGAGGCCACUCUCCUUCCACACAUUUCACCAUUUAUUUCAAUUCUAUGUCUUGGUUGUUAAGGCAUGUACACAUGGCAUGGAGAACUGGGCCUUGGUCAGAGCUAGGGAAGUAGUAAAGACUAGGUGAAUACAUAUAGAGAGAUGUUAUAGGAGAGAGAACAUCAGGAUUAAUGGUACUUGUGACCUUAUGGGACCUUGGAUAGCCACUUUCCAAUUUUCUGAAUGGGUAGAAUGCUACAUUCAACUAUAAAAGAACACCUGCUCUCUCUAAUGCUUGACACUGAUAAAUAUUAGUCUUGGUGUGCCAGAGCAUGACUGGCUGAUACUAUGAAUUGCCUAAAAUUCCUCCUUGUACUGGUCAGCUGUUGGUGGGUAGCUCCCUCAUAAAGAUAACAAGCUACAAGUUCUAUGGAGUGAACUCUUCUGAAUGCAGUUUCAGAGUGGUAGGGCAGGUCUGUUAUCUGCUCAAUGGGCAGCAUCAGUAGACCUGGUCUAGGACCUAUUCAAAGCAUUCUCUCUGACCCUGAUGGGUAGAUGACAGAUGAAUUGGAAAAUGAGGAGUCUUGGAAUAAUACCUUCCAGAAUAAUAAUAUAAAUUAGGAUCUGGGGUUUGCCCAUUCUAUAUUCUUAUGACAACCUGG